RNAcentral lists this long non-coding RNA (276 nucleotides) under Prunus persica (peach). Its description in RNAcentral is "long non-coding RNA (PPER_LNC006029)". Lineage: Eukaryota; Viridiplantae; Streptophyta; Magnoliopsida; Rosales; Rosaceae. The record is from RNAcentral.
CGAUAGCGAGGCACUGAGCUUCGACAGUGCCUAUAGUGAAGAUGCCGAAGUUGAGGUCAUUGGUGAGAGGGUCAAGGUCGUGCCCUCAUUCACAGGGGAAGGUUCUGCCAACGGAUAAAGCGGUAUCGUUGGCCAUGGUGCCAUGCGGCUUGGAGUGCGCCAGCACGAGCCAAUAUUCUACAUUCCUAAUGAGGGAUACAUGGGUGCCAAAUCAGCACAACAACGACCAAUCGGAGACCUCCACUUCUGGCCGAAGGGAUGCUGCUGCCAAGUCUU